CAUGGAGACCGACCAGAAACAAGUUCCCCGUCCUCGCAGAGUACUUGCAGAGCAAAUUGUGGACGUGAGCCUGCGGUUGCCGGUGCCCCCCAUCUGGAAAUGAAGCCAAGUCGGAGUCCCGCAAAGCUAGAAACCGAGACAGCAGAUUCCCCGAUGAUGUCACGGGAGUGCCUGGUUCCUGGUAUUUCCAGCUCCUGGUGUCAGCACAGUGCCUGGCAUCGGAGAAUGAAGGAGCCCUCGUUUCACGGAUGAGGAACACGGGGCCCCAGGAGAAAGCCAUUUGCCUCACGCAAAUAUGGAGAGCUGGGGCUAGAUAGGUCCCAAGUUUCCUGGCUGUCAGGCCAAAUCAGUCGCUCGAUUCAACAAAUCUUCAUUGAUUAUCUCCCACCUGCCAGGCUCCGGACAUGGCAUGUGAGACUGAAGGAAAUAAGGAUGAUGUGGCCCCUUGCCAACCACACAUACAGUCUGGACCCCCCUUCCCCCCAACAGAGGAACUUAUUAACUCCAGUGAGCCUCUGAGGAAUUGAGGGUUGCAGAGUCCGGAUGUGCGACCAGGAGGCCUCCCAGGCUCCCAGUCCCAGAAGACUGGGAUCUGCCUGCGUCUCAUCUUCCCCACACCAGGCUCUGGCGUAUGGCCUCCCUACCACCCAAGCCCACGCUGCUCUGUUUCCCAGAGGCUGGAGGCCCGGGCCUGUCCUGCUGCGGUUACAGGAGCCAGCUCCCUGGCCACACUGGCCACAGAUGAUCGGAGCUUCAUCAGCUCAAACAGGGCUGUCCUCACAGGAACAGUGGGCACACAAGCCCUGCCCGAACCCAUUCUCCCCAAACAGAAGCCUAGGCGUUCACCGUUAGCGGUCCAUUUGCCUGCUGUGCUGUGUGUUUGUCUUUUAAAACACUCCUCACUGAAACUGUAGUU
This is a non-coding RNA of Puma concolor (puma), 916 nucleotides long. Lineage: Eukaryota; Metazoa; Chordata; Mammalia; Carnivora; Felidae. The record is from RefSeq and is a predicted model, not a curated record.